RNAcentral lists this ribosomal RNA (1366 nucleotides) under uncultured bacterium. RNAcentral's name for it is "bacterial SSU rRNA". It matches the Rfam family "Bacterial small subunit ribosomal RNA", at positions 29 to 1393 of the family's 1533-position model. The record is from RNAcentral.
UUGAACGCUGGCGGCAUGCCUUACACAUGCAAGUCGAACGGCAGCAUAGGAGCUUGCUCCUGAUGGCGAGUGGCGAACGGGUGAGUAAUAUAUCGGAACGUGCCCUAGAGUGGGGGAUAACUAGUCGAAAGAUUAGCUAAUACCGCAUACGAUCUACGGAUGAAAGUGGGGGAUCGCAAGACCUCAUGCUCGUGGAGUGGCCGAUAUCUGAUUAGCUAGUUGGUGGGGUAAAAGCUCACCAAGGCGACGAUCAGUAGCUGGUCUGAGAGGACGACCAGCCACACUGGGACUGAGACACGGCCCAGACUCCUACGGGAGGCAGCAGUGGGGAAUUUUGGACAAUGGGGGCAACCCUGAUCCAGCAAUGCCGCGUGAGUGAAGAAGGCCUUCGGGUUGUAAAGCUCUUUUGUCAGGGAAGAAACGGUUGUGGCUAAUAUCCACGGCUAAUGACGGUACCUGAAGAAUAAGCACCGGCUAACUACGUGCCAGCAGCCGCGGUAAUACGUAGGGUGCGAGCGUUAAUCGGAAUUACUGGGCGUAAAGCGUGCGCAGGCUGUUUUGUAAGACAGAUGUGAAAUCCCCGGGCUCAACCUGGGAACUGCAUUUGUGACUGCAAGGCUAGAGUGUGUCAGAGGGGGGUAGAAUUCCACGUGUAGCAGUGAAAUGCGUAGAUAUGUGGAGGAAUACCGAUGGCGAAGGCAGCCCCCUGGGAUAACACUGACGCUCAUGCACGAAAGCGUGGGGGAGCAAACAGGAUUAGAUACCCUGGUAGUCCACGCCCUAAACGAUGUCAACUAGUUGUUGGGACUUAAUUGUCUUGGUAACGCAGCUAACGCGUGAAGUUGACCGCCUGGGGAGUACGGUCGCAAGAUUAAAACUCAAAGGAAUUGACGGGGACCCGCACAAGCGGUGGAUGAUGUGGAUUAAUUCGAUGCAACGCGAAAAACCUUACCUACGCUUGACAUAUACGGAAUCCUGAAGAGAUUUGGGAGUGCUCGAAAGAGAGCCGUAACACAGGUGCUGCAUGGCUGUCGUCAGCUCGUGUCGUGAGAUGUUGGGUUAAGUCCCGCAACGAGCGCAACCCUUGUCAUUAGUUGCUACGAAAGGGCACUCUAAUGAGACUGCCGGUGACAAACCGGAGGAAGGUGGGGAUGACGUCAAGUCCUCAUGGCCCUUAUGCGUAGGGCUUCACACGUCAUACAAUGGUACAUACAGAGGGUUGCCAACCCGCGAGGGGGAGCUAAUCUCAGAAAGUGUAUCGUAGUCCGGAUUGAAGUCUGCAACUCGACUUCAUGAAGUUGGAAUCGCUAGUAAUCGCGGAUCAGCAUGUCGCGGUGAAUACGUUCCCGGGUCUUGCACACACCGC